GCGUGCUAAUCUGCGAUAAGCGCCGGUAAGGUGAUAUGAACCGUUAUAACCGGCGAUACCCGAAUGGGGAAACCCAGUGUGACUCGUCACACUAUCAUUAACUGAAUCCAUAGGUUAAUGAGGCGAACCGGGGGAACUGAAACAUCUAAGUACCCCGAGGAAAAGAAAUCAACCGAGAUUCCCCCAGUAGCGGCGAGCGAACGGGGAGGAGCCCAGAGCCUGAAUCAGCAUGUGUGUUAGUGGAAGCGUCUGGAAAGGCGCGCGAUACAGGGUGACAGCCCCGUACACAAAAGCGCAUGUGCUGUGAGCUCGAUGAGUAGGGCGGGACACGUGGUAUCCUGUCUGAAUAUGGGGGGACCAUCCUCCAAGGCUAAAUACUCCUGACUGACCGAUAGUGAACCAGUACCGUGAGGGAAAGGCGAAAAGAACCCCGGCGAGGGGAGUGAAAAAGAACCUGAAACCGUGUAC
Molecule: ribosomal RNA, 468 nt
Filed under: Salmonella enterica subsp. enterica serovar Enteritidis
Lineage: Bacteria; Pseudomonadati; Pseudomonadota; Gammaproteobacteria; Enterobacterales; Enterobacteriaceae
Description: partial 23S ribosomal RNA
Rfam family: Bacterial large subunit ribosomal RNA
Source: RNAcentral